GUAACCCAGUUCAGAAUAACCAUAUCUACAUCUGAGGGCACCACAAAAAUAGUAGCCCAAUUCUUCAUUCAUAAUCAAUCUCAACGUUUUACCAAAACACAAUGAUAUGAGUGAAGAACUCCAAUCUCCAUGGCUAAUCUAUCACUU
Molecule: long non-coding RNA, 147 nt
Organism: Ipomoea nil (Japanese morning glory)
Lineage: Eukaryota; Viridiplantae; Streptophyta; Magnoliopsida; Solanales; Convolvulaceae
Exons: 3
Source: RefSeq, a predicted model, not a curated record